AUUGCUUCUCGGCCUUUUGGCUAAGAUCAAAGUUUAGUUUCUGUUCUUAUCGAAUUAACCUUCGGUAGAGAUUCGAAUGAAUCUCGUUAAGGUUAUUUGAUUUUUGAGACCGGACGGGGUCGUGGGCGUGCUCGGGCCCCGUCACGGGUCGGCCCAGUGUACUACUGCUGCGGCCGGUUUCAUCAAC
Molecule: non-coding RNA, 187 nt
Organism: Heligmosomoides polygyrus
Lineage: Eukaryota; Metazoa; Nematoda; Chromadorea; Rhabditida; Heligmosomidae
Source: Rfam